RNAcentral lists this ribosomal RNA (464 nucleotides) under Vreelandella stevensii. RNAcentral describes it as "partial 16S ribosomal RNA". It matches the Rfam family "Bacterial small subunit ribosomal RNA", at positions 338 to 794 of the family's 1533-position model. Lineage: Bacteria; Pseudomonadati; Pseudomonadota; Gammaproteobacteria; Oceanospirillales; Halomonadaceae. The record is from RNAcentral.
CCUACGGGUGGCAGCAGUGGGGAAUAUUGGACAAUGGGGGCAACCCUGAUCCAGCCAUGCCGCGUGUGUGAAGAAGGCCCUCGGGUUGUAAAGCACUUUCAGUGAGGAAGAACGCCUGGUGGUUAAUACCCAUCAGGAAAGACAUCACUCACAGAAGAAGCACCGGCUAACUCCGUGCCAGCAGCCGCGGUAAUACGGAGGGUGCGAGCGUUAAUCGGAAUUACUGGGCGUAAAGCGCGCGUAGGUGGCUUGAUAAGCCGGUUGUGAAAGCCCCGGGCUCAACCUGGGAACGGCAUCCGGAACUGUCAAGCUAGAGUGCAGGAGAGGAAGGUAGAAUUCCCGGUGUAGCGGUGAAAUGCGUAGAGAUCGGGAGGAAUACCAGUGGCGAAGGCGGCCUUCUGGACUGACACUGACACUGAGGUGCGAAAGCGUGGGUAGCAAACAGGAUUAAAUACCCUAGUAGU